RNAcentral lists this ribosomal RNA (253 nucleotides) under uncultured bacterium. RNAcentral describes it as "partial 16S ribosomal RNA". It matches the Rfam family "Bacterial small subunit ribosomal RNA", at positions 524 to 776 of the family's 1533-position model. The record is from RNAcentral.
GACGGAGGAUGCAAGCGUUAUCCGGAAUUAUUGGGCGUAAAGCGUACGUAGGCUGCUAAUUAAGUCUGUUGUCAAAGCCCGAGGCUCAACCUUGGAUCGGCAAUGGAAACUGAAUAGCUAGAGAGAGAUAGGGGCAGGAGGAAUUCCAGGUGUAGCGGUGAAAUGCGUAGAUAUCUGGAAGAACACCAGUGGCGAAAGCGUCCUGCUGGAUCUCAACUGACGCUGAAGUACGAAAGCUAGGGGAGCGAAUGGG